RNAcentral lists this ribosomal RNA (492 nucleotides) under Kynotus sp. r2. RNAcentral describes it as "partial 16S ribosomal RNA". It matches the Rfam family "Bacterial large subunit ribosomal RNA", at positions 1808 to 2608 of the family's 2925-position model. The record is from RNAcentral. Lineage: Eukaryota; Metazoa; Annelida; Clitellata; Crassiclitellata; Kynotidae.
CAAAAACAUAGCUUUUUGACACCCCAUAAAAAGUGUUUUCCUGCCCAGUGACUAAUUAAACGGCCGCGGUACCCUAACCGUGCAAAGGUAGCAUAAUAACUUGCCCAUUAAUUGUGGGCUAGAAUGAAUGGAUAAACAAAAUAUCGACUGUCUCAGUUUAACAAAUAUAAAUUAUUCUUCAGUUGAAGAAAACUGAAUAAAGUUGAAAGACAAGAAGACCCUACAGAGCUUCAUCUAAAAUGGUAAACCUUACAAGAAUUGGUUGGGGCGACCAGGGAAUAAAAAUCACCCCUGUGAAUUAGAAUAAUUAUUCGAAUCUAUGACCCCUAUAAGAACAAAAAUAAAGCUACCUUAGGGAUAACAGGCUAAUCCCAUUAAAAAGCUCUUAUUAACAAUGGGGUUUGGCACCUCGAUGUUGGCUUAGGGUACCACUUAAAUGCAGAAGUUUAAUAACGGUGGUUUGUUCAACCAUUAAACCCCUACGUGAUCUGA